Molecule: ribosomal RNA, 365 nt
Filed under: Metarhizium anisopliae
Lineage: Eukaryota; Fungi; Ascomycota; Sordariomycetes; Hypocreales; Clavicipitaceae
Description: eukaryotic LSU rRNA
Rfam family: 5.8S ribosomal RNA (bases 1-126)
Source: RNAcentral
UGCAUCGAUGAAGAACGCAGCGAAAUGCGAUAAGUAAUGUGAAUUGCAGAAUUCAGUGAAUCAUCGAAUCUUUGAACGCACAUUGCGCCCGUCAGUAUUCUGGCGGGCAUGCCUGUUCGAGCGUCAUUACGCCCCUCAAGUCCCCUGUGGACUUGGUGUUGGGGAUCGGCGAGGCUGGUUUUCCAGCACAGCCGUCCCUUAAAUUGAUUGGCGGUCUCGCCGUGGCCCUCCUCUGCGCAGUAGUAAAACACUCGCAACAGGAGCCCGGCGCGGUCCACUGCCGUAAAACCCCCCAACUUUUUAUAGUUGACCUCGAAUCAGGUAGGACUACCCGCUGAACUUAAGCAUAUCAAUAAGCGGAGGAA